This 301-nucleotide ribosomal RNA is filed under the name uncultured bacterium. RNAcentral's name for it is "partial 16S ribosomal RNA". It matches the Rfam family "Bacterial small subunit ribosomal RNA", at positions 509 to 807 of the family's 1533-position model. The record is from RNAcentral.
CAGCAGCCACGGGAAUACGUAGGUGGCAAGCGUUGUCCGGAAUUAUUGGGCAUAAAGGGCUCGCAGGCGGUUUCUUAAGUCUGAUGUGAAAGCCCGGGGCUCAACCUCGGAAUUGCCUUCAAUACUGGCUGUCUUGAGUACGGGAGAGGUGUGUGGAACUCCGAGUGUAGAGGUGAAAUUCGUAGAUAUUCGGAGGAACAUCAGUGGCGAAGGCGGCCAUCUGGGACAACACUGACGCUGAGGCACGAAAGCGUGGGGAGCAAACAGGAUUAGAUACCCCAGUAGUCCCUGUCUCUUAUAC